This is a long non-coding RNA of Acipenser ruthenus (sterlet), 887 nucleotides long. RefSeq lists it as uncharacterized. Lineage: Eukaryota; Metazoa; Chordata; Actinopteri; Acipenseriformes; Acipenseridae. The transcript has 2 exons. The record is from RefSeq and is a predicted model, not a curated record.
CCUUCCUGCCCUGCUCUCAGUCGCUCUUGACACGACAGAGCGAGGCAGUGAGCUGUACUGCAGAGCUGCAGAGGAAGAGGAGGAGGAGGUGCUGGGGACAGGGCUCCAGAAACAGGUGCCUGGAUCGAUGGCCGCGCUGUGCACACCCUGACUCUGAUUCUCAGGCCCCACACUCAGUGUAUUUGACAAGCUGAGUUGGACACUCAAUUUGGUAUCAGUGUCAGUUUGUCAAAUACCCCAAGUGAGGGGCUUCUUCACACACUCCAGAUACUGAGACCAGUCAGCAGACAAGCGAUCAAACAGGCUUGUGUGCAAGCCUAUGCAGAAAGGCAGCACCUUGCGUUUUACUGAGCUGCAAAAAUGUGAUUGUUUUAUGUUGGUGUUCUUUAAAUACAGCCCUGCUAUUCCCCAGGCUGAUCCUUGUUUAUCCCACUGUGUGUUUCAUGUAUAUUUCAUAUCUCUUUCCAAAAAAAACUGUAUUUGUUAGUUUUUUUCCCUGAUAAAAGUAUAUAAGGACAUGUAAUAUAGCAUACAACAUAUGGUAAAAGAUAGCCAAACAAAGCAAUUUUGUUCCAAAGAACCAUUCAGUUGUAGUUCAUUUGGUGUAGGUUUUCAAACUUCCUAUUUAAAACAAUGAUUGAAAAACCAGACUCGCAUUCCUCUUAGAUGUGAAGUGAAAACCUCAAAAGAAAGAGAGAUUAUGAAAAUGCAACACUUCUAUUUUUGGAUUGCCUGUUCUGUUAGGAAAUGUAACGUUAAAUCUCUAAAAGCUAGUUUUAUUUCAAUAAUGUAACACAAUGUUUUAAAGGCUGGAACAGUAUGUCACAUAAUUGAAUAAUAUGUUAUGUUUCGAUCAUUAAAAUACUGUAUGUCACAAAUAAUACAUA